Molecule: long non-coding RNA, 2234 nt
Filed under: Equus asinus (donkey)
Lineage: Eukaryota; Metazoa; Chordata; Mammalia; Perissodactyla; Equidae
Description: lncRNA (ENSEASG00005032383.1)
Source: RNAcentral
UUGGGAUUUGGGCCCAGGAAUUCCCAUCAGGAAUGAAACACUUUCCACCUGCUGCCACCUAAAGCGCCUAACUCCGUCAUGGAAUUUGCGUGCAGACAGUUAGAUCGGACUUUGGAAACAGAGGAUGAAUAAUGAGUUUCCUUCUUUCUGUUCACAGAGGCCAGCCAAGAGCCAGAGCUGGAGCCAGGCCUCUGGUCGUAAACUAAACAACAGAACCAGUUAUUGGUUUCAAGUCUGACUGCCUCCUCUUGUAAGGACUUUGGAACUUGGAGAAGCUCCCUUACCCUUUAUAAGCCAGCAGAAAGAAGUAUGAUUGUCAAGACCCCAGACAGAAUGGCAGCCAACAAUCUAAGUGUCUUUCGAUGGAUGAAUGGAUAAAGAAAAUGUGGUAUAGCUAUACAAAAUGGAAUAUUAUUCAGCCACGAGAAAGAAAGAAAUCCUUCCAUUUGUGACAACGUGGAUGAGCCUGGAGGACAUUAUGCUGAGUGAAAUAAGCCAGACACAGAAAGACAAAUAUGUAUGAUCUCACUUGUAAAAGAAACAGCUGCUGUUAUCCAGAGUAAAUCAGUCACAAAGAAACCUGCUCCUCAUUCUGUCUCCUGGUUUCCCAUAAAUGCCUGAAGCCCAGCCUUGGAGAGGCUUUCCUAUAGAGAUAGAGCUUAUCAACUGGUGAUCUUCACUGUAAGAUGAUUGAGUGAGAACCUGGCUAAUUCAUUGGGGACCCCAAAAUGACAUUAUCUAUGGGUCUUUUCUUUGAGAGCAGUUCCAGUCUCCUCAGAGAUGAAUUCUCCAGUUUCUUGCCUGGAAAAUAUAUACCUGACUGCUGGUGUUCUUGGAACCAAUGUUUUUGGAGUGUAGGAAAAGGGACCUUAUUGUAGACUUUCAUUUAGUGCCCCUAUUUUCAAUAGAAUGCCCAUUCCCUAUUUUUAACUCUAUCUGGGGCAUCUGGGUCUGGGGCUUCUGUGGAUCAAUUUAGUUUGAAUAAACUUCCAAUCUCCUGCCAGAGUAGGGAAAAGGUAUUUUCCUGGCUGAGCAGGUUGAGGGAGGAGAACUAAGAGUGGUCUAGCUGCUUUUCUCGCACACAUGCAACCAAAUCCUCUGCUUUUGGCCUCUUGACACACCCCUGCUUUCUUUGGUCACUGGUGUCUCUAAUUUCUGAGCUUCCCAGGCAUUCCACAGCAUGAAUUGUCUUGCUUCUCAUUUUGCAGCCCCCACUCUGCAGACAUUUGCUCUUCAGUCCCUUCAGCUCUGCUAACCUGCAUCUACUUUCUAUCUUCCAAAAACGUCUUGGCAUAUCUAGUCUUCUGCUGCCUUCAUUACCGUUCUCUCUGUCUUUGUGGGAUUUUACCCCUUAAAAAACUAAUUUCUCUUCAUUUUAGCAUAGUUUUAGAAGAGAUAAUAGAUAAACAUGUAUUUAAUGUCAUAUUUAAUUGGAAGUCCUCCAAUUGUAUUUAUUAAAAUGAAAAAUUCACAUGCUCCUUGACUUGGAAAUCUCACUUAUGAUAAUUUAACUGUCAGAAAUAAAAGUGCCAGUAUUGUAUAGGUAAGUUUACAAGAGUGUUUACUGCAAUAGUAAUAGCAACAAUCAGAGUGUCCGCUGAUAAGGAACAGUUAUGUAAAUUAUGGUGUAUUUAUACUAUGGACUACUCUCCAAUCAUUAAAAGGAAUAAGGCAUAUUGACUUGGAAAGCCAUCCAUGAUAUAUUGCUGAGUAAAAGAGAAGGCUAUAGUAACCCCAUGUUUGUGAAAGAAAGUGAACUAGUAUUAUAUGUUUAUAUGUUUGUAUACAUAAAGAAUAAAGUGUGUAAGGAGUCAUACUAGAUUUUUAACAGUGAUUACAUUGGGGGAUGGCUUUGGAUGGGGAGUGGAAGAAUAUAUCAAUUUAACUUUAGAAACUUUUUUAUUGUCUUUGAAGUGUUUCAGUUAACCUGUGUUGCUUUUGUUAUUCAAACGCCAAAAUAAACAUGCUUAAAAAAAGUUGUAGAUGCAAGAAUGUUCACUGCAGCAUUAUUUAUGAUGGUGAAAAAUUGGAAAAUAAUAUAAAUGUCUGACAAUAAAGACUGGUUAAUACAUUUGAAAUAUCUAUAUGGCAGAAUAUUAGGAGCCUAUUAUAAUGAUCUUUUAGACAAAUUUUAAUGUUGUGGUAAAAUGGUCAUGAAUAAUGCAAGGUGAGAAAAGUAGAAUACGAAAUCGUAUAUACUUUGUAAUUCCAAUGUUGUAAUUAAAAUGUAAUGC